CAGGACGAACGCUGGCGGCGUGCCUAACACAUGCAAGUUGAGCGGAGAUAUAUGGAGCUUGCUUUAUAUAACUUAGCAGCGAACGGGUGAGUAACACGUAGAUAAUCUAUCCUAUACUGGGGGAUAGCCCGAUGAAAGUUGGAUUAAUACCGCAUAUAGCUAUAUAGUUGCAUGAUUAUGUAGUGAAAGAUUUAUUGGUAUAGGAGGAGUCUGCGGCACAUUAGCUAGUAGGUGAGGUAAAGGCUUACCUAGGCGACGAUGUGUAGCCGGUCUGAGAGGAUGAACGGCCACAAUGGAACUGAGACACGGUCCAUACUCCUACGGGAGGCAGCAGUGGGGAAUAUUGCACAAUGGGGGAAACCCUGAUGCAGCAACGCCGCGUGAGUGAAGAAGGUUUUCGGAUUGUAAAGCUCUGUUAGCAGGGAAGAGGAAGGACGGUACCUGCAGAGGAAGCCACGGCUAACUACGUGCCAGCAGCCGCGGUAAUACGUAGGUGGCAAGCGUUGUUCG
This 510-nucleotide ribosomal RNA is filed under the name uncultured bacterium. RNAcentral describes it as "bacterial SSU rRNA". It matches the Rfam family "Bacterial small subunit ribosomal RNA", at positions 25 to 547 of the family's 1533-position model. The record is from RNAcentral.